Molecule: ribosomal RNA, 1176 nt
Filed under: Salmonella enterica subsp. enterica serovar Typhimurium
Lineage: Bacteria; Pseudomonadati; Pseudomonadota; Gammaproteobacteria; Enterobacterales; Enterobacteriaceae
Description: partial 23S ribosomal RNA
Rfam family: Bacterial large subunit ribosomal RNA
Source: RNAcentral
CGGGCGUUAAGUUGCAGGGUAUAGACCCGAAACCCGGUGAUCUAGCCAUGGGCAGGUUGAAGGUUGGGUAACACUAACUGGAGGACCGAACCGACUAAUGUUGAAAAAUUAGCGGAUGACCUGUGGCUGGGGGUGAAAGGCCAAUCAAACCGGGAGAUAGCUGGUUCUCCCCGAAAGCUAUUUAGGUAGCGCCUCGUGAAUUCAUCUCCGGGGGUAGAGCACUGUUUCGGCUAGGGGGCCAUCCCGGCUUACCAACCCGAUGCAAACUGCGAAUACCGGAGAAUGUUAUCACGGGAGACACACGGCGGGUGCUAACGUCCGUCGUGAAGAGGGAAACAACCCAGACCGCCAGCUAAGGUCCCAAAGUCAUGGUUAAGUGGGAAACGAUGUGGGAAGGCCCAGACAGCCAGGAUGUUGGCUUAGAAGCAGCCAUCAUUUAAAGAAAGCGUAAUAGCUCACUGGUCGAGUCGGCCUGCGCGGAAGAUGUAACGGGGCUAAACCAUGCACCGAAGCUGCGGCAGCGAACGUAUCACCCAAGACAACUUUACGGAGUUGACGAUUGACGGAGCGAAGCGACGUCAAAGCGUUCAUUAAAGUCGAGUUGGCUUAGGGAUACGUUCGUUGGGUAGGGGAGCGUUCUGUAAGCCUGUGAAGGUGUGUCGUGAGGCAUGCUGGAGGUAUCAGAAGUGCGAAUGCUGACAUAAGUAACGAUAAAGCGGGUGAAAAGCCCGCUCGCCGGAAGACCAAGGGUUCCUGUCCAACGUUAAUCGGGGCAGGGUGAGUCGACCCCUAAGGCGAGGCCGAAAGGCGUAGUCGAUGGGAAACGGGUUAAUAUUCCCGUACUUGGUGUUACUGCGAAGGGGGGACGGAGAAGGCUAUGUUGGCCGGGCGACGGUUGUCCCGGUUUAAGCGUGUAGGUGUGUGUUCCAGGUAAAUCCGGUUCACUUUAACACUGAGGCGUGACGACGAGGCACUACGGUGCUGAAGCAACAAAUGCCCUGCUUCCAGGAAAAGCCUCUAAGCAUCAGGUAACAUCAAAUCGUACCCCAAACCGACACAGGUGGUCAGGUAGAGAAUACCAAGGCGCUUGAGAGAACUCGGGUGAAGGAACUAGGCAAAAUGGUGCCGUAACUUCGGGAGAAGGCACGCUGACACGUAGGUGAAGUGAUUUACUCA